CCUACGGGAGGCUGCAAUGGGGAAUAUUGGACAAUGGGGGGAACCCUGAUCCAGUCAUGCCGCGUGUGUGAAGAAGGCCCUCGGGUUGUAAAGCACUUUCAGUGAGGAAGAACGCCUGGUGGUUAAUACCCAUCAGGAAAGACAUCACUCACAGAAGAAGCACCGGCUAACUCCGUGCCAGCAGCCGCGGUAAUACGGAGGGUGCGAGCGUUAAUCGGAAUUACUGGGCGUAAAGCGCGCGUAGGUGGCUUGAUAAGCCGGUUGUGAAAGCCCCGGGCUCAACCUGGGAACGGCAUCCGGAACUGUCAAGCUAGAGUGCAGGAGAGGAAGGUAGAAUUCCCGGUGUAGCGGUGAAAUGCGUAGAGAUCGGGAGGAAUACCAGUGGCGAAGGCGGCCUUCUGGACUGACACUGACACUGAGGUGCGAAAGCGUGGGUAGCAAACAGGAUUAGAUACCCGAGUAGUC
RNAcentral lists this ribosomal RNA (465 nucleotides) under Vreelandella stevensii. Its description in RNAcentral is "partial 16S ribosomal RNA". It matches the Rfam family "Bacterial small subunit ribosomal RNA", at positions 338 to 795 of the family's 1533-position model. The record is from RNAcentral. Lineage: Bacteria; Pseudomonadati; Pseudomonadota; Gammaproteobacteria; Oceanospirillales; Halomonadaceae.